RNAcentral lists this long non-coding RNA (367 nucleotides) under Mytilus galloprovincialis (Mediterranean mussel). The record is from RNAcentral. Lineage: Eukaryota; Metazoa; Mollusca; Bivalvia; Mytilida; Mytilidae.
GUGUAAUGUAUGUAUAUUUGUCUUAAUAUGUGUGUUUGUUUGCAUUGCAUGUCAUUUUGCUUAUGUUUAAUGUAUUUAAUAAUGUCAAUUUUAAAAGCUCACUUACUUUGUUUACAAUGUAUUGAUAAUAAAUAAAACUUUGAUUUGAUUUGAGGUGUUGCAUUUGUUGAAUAAGCAUUUCUUUUUCAGAUGGGAACUAAUUGUGCUCCCAUUCCAGAAUACCUGCUUCUUGUAUUCCUAUUUGGAAUGCAGAAUUAGGGCAGAUCUUCUUGAAUACAACAGGGGAAAAAAUCUACUUAAUUUCAAUCUCAGAUAUAUUUAUGACCUUUGACUAAAUAAUCCCCAUCAGCUAGUAUUUAUCUUAUAA